AAGUAAAGCUGCGCUGCUGCGUGCCUUCUCGGUUCCCGUCCGCGCGAACAGACUUUGCAAACUGCUGCGCUACCAAGUGCCACUAGUGCCCACUGUCUAGGGCUAGAUGGCCUAGCCCCAGCUUGGACUGUCAGGAGAGGAGGAGUACUGGAGAGUGGAGACAGGAGUGGACUCAGACUCAGUCGACUGUGGCUGCUGUGGCAUUGCAACCUCUGAACUCUGCCUG
This is a long non-coding RNA of Bufo bufo (common toad), 226 nucleotides long. RefSeq lists it as uncharacterized. The transcript is spliced from 2 exons. The record is from RefSeq and is a predicted model, not a curated record. NCBI's taxonomy places the organism in Eukaryota, Metazoa, Chordata, Amphibia, Anura, Bufonidae.